CACGUAGUUAGCCGUGACUUCCUCGCCGGGUACCAUCACUCAGAAAGCUUUCCACUCUUUCUGCCUUUUGUCCCCGGCAACAGAGCUUUACGAUCCGAAGGCCUUCCUCGCUCACGCGGCAUUGCUCGUUCAGGGUUCCCCCCAUUGACGAAAAUUCCCUACUGCUGCCUCCCGCAGGAGUCUGGGCCGUGUCUCAGUCCCAGUGUGGCCGUCCGCCCUCUCAGGCCGGCUAUGCAUCGUCGCCUUGGUGAGCCGUUACCUCUCCAACCAGCUAAUGCACCGCAGGUCCAUCUGCAUGCGGGACUCUUGUCCCCUUUUCCAAAAAGAAGAUGCCUCCUCUUUGCUCAUCCGGUAUCAGCUUCCGUUUCCAGAAGUUCUCCCGCUCAUGCAGGCAGGUUCCCUAGUGUUACUCACCCGUUCGCCACUCAUACUCCGAAAGAUAUCCCGUUCGACUUGCAUGUAUUAGGCUAUGCCGUCAGCGUUCAUCCGUGACGCCAA
This 498-nucleotide ribosomal RNA is filed under the name uncultured Erysipelotrichaceae bacterium. RNAcentral's name for it is "partial 16S ribosomal RNA". The record is from RNAcentral. Lineage: Bacteria; Bacillati; Bacillota; Erysipelotrichia; Erysipelotrichales; Erysipelotrichaceae.